AUGUUGGGAUCCAUUGAUACAAGUAGAUCCAAUAUAUCAGCAAUGGUUUCCCAGUAUUUUAAUAAAAGUAAGGCUUCUGAUGAGUUGGGUGGGUUUGUGCACACGUGUGUGUGUGUGUGUGUGUGUGUGUGCAUACAGGCACACACACUAUCCGUGUCUAGUACUCUGCUCAUAAUUCUACUCCCUGAAGACAAUUUUCUAAAAGUUGCCUGUAUAUGUCUUCCUUCUUUUUUCUGAAACACAGAAGGAAAGGUGGAUAAAGCUGUGUGUGUAUGUAUGUAUGCAUGUAUGUGUGUGCACACAGACAUACACACACACAUUCUCUAACUAUCCUCAUAAUCUAUCCUAUAACUAUCCUAUAAUCAUAUCUUCUUUAAAAUCAUGGUUUUUCUAAAAGCAAUGGGAAACAAAUAUCUUUCAUACUAUCUGAAAAUCUGUUUCAUUUGUGAGAAAUUAGGGAUUCUAUUCUCCUUUCUUUGUAUAGCUUUUAUCAGCCUUGAAGUAUUUGUUAUAUUUAAGGAAUUAGGAAAUUACUCUUUUAGUCUCUGUUCUCUUCACUGUGUAAGAACAGUGUUAUUGAUAUCCACUGCAUUCUAGAUUUGCUCUCUACUAUUACAAAAACAAGUUCCGCUAUCUAUCUAUCUAUCUAUCUAUCUAUCUAUCUAUCUAUCUAUCUAUCUAUCUAUCAAUCUAUCUAUCUAUCUAUCAAUCAUCUAUUUACUGUAAUAGCUGUCAGAAUGAACCUCAUUCCAAAUAUCAACUGUUCUAUCUAGACUCAGGGUAAGCAUUUCCAUCAUCUGAGAACAUUUAGUGGCACAAUAAUAUUUAACAAAGACUAUUUAACAUUAGCAGUAUCCGUUUUAUUGUUAGGAUGCUCUAACAAAAUAAACAAAAUUUUCACAGUCUCCUUCAUUUAGCCAGUUAGUGAAAUAAUCCCAAUAAAUUGAACAUUAUGGCCACAAUAAUUCUGAAGCAAAAAUCAAGUCUUGGCCACUCUGUGAAGUAUUGUAUUAAUGAAUGACCCAUUGAACCAGGAUCAGUUAAUUGUUUAGCUGUCACGAAAACUUUGCUUUGCUUUCUCUUCUGCAAAACAGAAGUUAUAGGCAAAUUCUGUUUUGGGCAUUUGGAAGCUGAAUAUAAUUUCAUGAAAUAUGGAGAAAUUGACUAAAAUAGUGUGAAAGUGAUGAGGAAUUUCUUUAGAGAUGAAAAAGUAAGGUAACUAUCAAGUCUGUUUGCAUUUUAGAACUAUAACAGAUACUUGAACUGGAAUUAAGUGUUUUAUAAGAUAUAAUGUUCUUAAGAGUUCCUGGAAACUAUUUAGAACAGCUUGUGUCAGUAGGUAUAGUUGGCUAUAGUUAGCUAGCCUCCAGGAAUGGCCAGUGAAGUUUAUCAAAUAACCAUUAACAUUGUGUUGGGGUUUAGAAUCUUGCAUUUGAGACACUAAAUAAUUAUUUGGCUUUCAAUAUGACCUAAGGAAUGUGGUUAUGUUUCCCAGAAGUACCUUUUUCUGAGUGGCAAAAUUUAUGUUUUCCCAAGAUGCAUCAUUUCAUCUGUUUUUUUAAAAAAAGAUAUGGAGAGCUGUGGGCUCUGGGAUCCACGAUGCACCGAUUUAAACAUUUGCCGAAUAGCAGGCAGUUAGCAUAGGCCUAAAAUGCCCAGAGAAAAUGAUGCUUAAUCAAGUGGAAAAUGUUUACCUCCACACAAUUAGCAGGGAGAUAAGUUAUACUUUCAGUUCCUCAGAGAAAAUGAACAGCGUAACGAAAGGCAUGUUGCACAUAAGAGUACAUUAAAGUCCUUAAGAAAAGAACAAUGCAAAAUUCUCUAUUCUAACCAAAGAAAGAAAAUGCAAGUAUAGAAAAGAAAAAAGUGCAAUUUUUUAAAAAAAGGAAUAUAGUAUAAGCAAGAAGGAUAUUGGUGUGACUUGUCUAAACUCCAAUAGCAAUUGGAACACCAAAAAAUACUAAGAAAAAUAUUAUUCUUUCAAUAUGCCAAACUUGUUUCUGUUUAGGUAUUAUAUUGCAAUAUAUGUUUUCCAUUCCACUGAUUUAAAGAUAUUGGUAUUGGGAAUCUUCAGAGUGAUAUCUUUAGCUGGAAGCAGGAGGAAGGAUCAAUAUUAAAGUUAUUUGGUGGCUAAUAGUUUUGAUGACUAUUUAUCACCAACAGUAUUUGGGGCACUAUACAUUUUAAUGCCAGUGCGAGGGCCAGCAAUGGAGGGCUGUUAUUGUCUGCAUGGGAACAUUCCGUUGGUAAUGCUGGGGCAGAGUAACAGGGAAGAGAAGGGAAGGUCUUUUGUCUCAAACACCACAAAUCCUCUUGUGUUGGCUCUUCAUAAAAGGUGUGAUCAAAUAUAUUUUACUCCUUGAUAUUAAUAUCUGGCGUUGGGCUGUUCUAAUGUUGGGAGCAGAAGAUCAAAGUGCAAAACCUGCCUCAUAACAAAUCAUCAUCAUAAUUGUCACCACCUCAUCAGAUGGCCAGCAGCAGAAGGAGGUGGCUGUCCACUUCACUGUGAAGCGUGGGGAAUCCAGCACACCAUGCCUCACAUCGCCCUCCUUGCCAGGAGGGCAAUCACAUGGGGGGAAGCAUGGUGUGUGCGACUUCCCCCCCUAGAUUAGGCAACACAUGAAGCCUCCCAUGUUGCCAGGGCAGUGGUGACAUGCUGGUUCCGCCUCCUGCACCCACGGAGUGGGCACAAAGUUGUUUGAUGGGUGCUGGCCGGCUCUGUGGGUGACUGGAGCUAGCUGCCGAAUGUAGCCCCGUUUAAUGAAGUCGUAAUAGGAAAUAGGGCAAUGUGAGGCCUGAUUGCUUUUAUCCAAAUAUGUACAUGUAUGUUUUAAAACUACUAUUUUUAAAUUGUUGAAUUGUUUAGCAUGAUUAUAUCCUUACAUUCCUUUUGACUGGAUUGUUACAUUUUAGAAAAUUAUAUUAAAUCUUGAUUCUUUUCCAAGAUGCCUGCAUAUUCCAAGGCAAGACACAAAUAUUUUAGUAAACAUAUACAAAUAAAAGUGUCAAAUUCAUAUUUUUCACAUUUUUAAAACUUCAGUUUCUUUCCACUUCUGAAUUAUGAAACAGUAUGUUUUCUGUACAUUUAUUAGAAAACAAAAUGAAUCGAAUUUUCACUGAAGCCUAACUAUAGGAGUUGAAUACUAUUUGAUUUAAUUAAUAUUUUAUUUAUUUUUUCAUUUAUAUGCCAUCUUUUUCCUGGAGUUGGGGGUUGACAAAAAUCAAUUAAAAUUUAACAAUAAAAACAUAAAAACAAUUUAAAACCAUCACAUUAAAACAGUAUAAAAUCAUUUAAAGGGCAUACAAAAUUUAACAAAUAAAACACUCCAAUAAUAAAACUCCCAAAGAGCAAUUAUAUAGUAAAAGACUGCUUAAUCAGAAUGGUAUUUGCCUGCUGGCAAAAGGAGAGCAAGCAGGGGGUCAGCCCAGCUUUCCUGCAGAAGGGAAUUCCAAAGCAUAAACAUAGAAAUUUGCAUGUAGAAAAACUUUUUCCUCAUGUACCUUUUGUUCAAAACCUAU
Anolis carolinensis (green anole) is the source of this 3519-nucleotide long non-coding RNA. NCBI's taxonomy places the organism in Eukaryota, Metazoa, Chordata, Lepidosauria, Squamata, Anolidae. The record is from Ensembl.